This is a non-coding RNA of Lupinus albus (white lupine), 301 nucleotides long. The record is from the annotation of a GenBank genome assembly. Lineage: Eukaryota; Viridiplantae; Streptophyta; Magnoliopsida; Fabales; Fabaceae.
GGAAAGGAAAGGAAAGGAAGAAAAAAAAGGGGAGAAGAAGAAGGAGAAGAGGAAGGAGAUAAAGAAAGAUCACCAUUACACUUCAUAUUCCCCAAACAUCAAGAGAACAAUAAACUGAGACAAUGCAUGAAUAUGCACACACUUUGGAUUGUCCGGCGAACCAACAUAGACGACUAGUUAGCUAUUAAUCGACAUGCAAUUUGUGGACAAAAGGAGUAUGCUUUCUUCCGUAAAGACUUACCAUAUUUUGGAGUUCUUCGAUUUCAAGAUUAAUGAAAAACAAUCAACUGCAUCAAAAUGA